AAGUAUACCCUCCUCUUGACAGUUGGAAUGAUACAGAGAAGAUUAGCAUGGGCCCUGCACAAGGAUGAUCAUUCAGUGAAAUAAAGGACUUUCAA
Molecule: small nuclear RNA, 95 nt
Filed under: Notamacropus eugenii (tammar wallaby)
Lineage: Eukaryota; Metazoa; Chordata; Mammalia; Diprotodontia; Macropodidae
Source: RNAcentral